This 253-nucleotide ribosomal RNA is filed under the name uncultured bacterium. RNAcentral describes it as "partial 16S ribosomal RNA". It matches the Rfam family "Bacterial small subunit ribosomal RNA", at positions 524 to 776 of the family's 1533-position model. The record is from RNAcentral.
UACGGAGGGGGCUAGCGUUGUUCGGAAUUACUGGGCGUAAAGCGCACGUAGGCGGCUUUGUAAGUUAGAGGUGGAAGCCCGGGGCUCAACUCCGGAAUUGCCUUUAAGACUGCAUCGCUCGAAUUGUGGAGAGGUAAGUGGAAUUCCGAGUGUAGAGGUGAAAUUCGUAGAUAUUCGGAAGAACACCAGUGGCGAAGGCGACUUACUGGACACAUAUUGACGCUGAGGUGCGAAAGCGUGGGGAGCAAACAGG